Molecule: ribosomal RNA, 1972 nt
Filed under: Enterocloster aldenensis
Lineage: Bacteria; Bacillati; Bacillota; Clostridia; Lachnospirales; Lachnospiraceae
Description: partial 23S ribosomal RNA
Rfam family: Bacterial large subunit ribosomal RNA
Source: RNAcentral
UUGGUUAAGCUAAUAAGAGCGCAGGGUGGAUGCCUUGGCACUAAGAGCCGAUGAAAGACGUGAUAAGCUGCGAAAAGCUUCGGGGAGGAGCAAAUAUCCUUUGAUCCGGAGAUAUCUGAAUGGGGAAACCUACUUGAGCAACCCUCAAGUGACGUAUGGUGAAUACAUAGCCAUACGCCGGGAACCCGGUGAACUGAAACAUCUAAGUAACCGGAGGAAGAGAAAGAAACAUCGAUUCCCAAAGUAGCGGCGAGCGAAAUGGGAAGAGCCCAAACCAGCGUGCGUGCAUGCUGGGGUUAUGGACCGCACACGUGAACCGAUUUGUUAAUGGAACUGUCUGGGAAGUCAGGCCAAAGAGAGUGAAAGCCUCGUACAUGAAAACAAUAGGAAGCAGCGGGAUCCAGAGUACCACGAGACACGAGAAACCUUGUGGGAAGUCGGGGGGACCACCCUCCAAGGCUAAAUACUCCUUAGUGACCGAUAGAGCAUAGUACUGUGAAGGAAAGGUGAAAAGGACCCCGGGAGGGGAGUGAAAGAGAACCUGAAACCCUGUGUUUACAAGCUGUGGGAGCACGUUAAGGUGCGACCGCGUACUUUUUGUAGAACGGUCCGGCGAGUUGCCGGUACUGGCAAGGUUAAGCACUUAAGGUGCGGAGCCGAAGGGAAACCGAGUCUCAAAUGGGCGUCAAGUCAGUACAGGCAGACCCGAAACCGGGUGACCUAUCCAUGUCCAGGUUGAAGCGGAAGUAAAAUUCCGUGGAGGACCGGAUCCACAUCCGUUGAAAAGGGUGGGAAUGAGGUGUGGAUAGGGGAGAAAUUCCAAUCGAACCCGGAGAUAGCUGGUUCUCCUCGAAAUAGCUUUAGGGCUAGCCUUGUAUUAGUUUAGCGGAGGUAGAGCACUGAAUUCCUAAGGGGGCGUCAAAGCUUACCAAGGGAUAUCAAACUCCGAAUGCCGUAUAAAUGAUGUACAGGAGUCAGACUGCACGAGAUAAGUUGGGUAGUCAAAAGGGAAAGAGCCCAGACCUACAGCUAAGGUCCCAAAGUAUGUGUUAAGUGGAAAAGGAUGUGGGAUUUCAAAGACAACUAGGAUGUUGGCUCAGAAGCAGCCACACAUUCAAAGAGUGCGUAAUAGCUCACUAGUCGAGAGGUCCUGCGCCGAAAAUGUCCGGGGCUGAAACACAACACCGAAGCUUAGGAAUGUCGUAAGACAUUGGUAGAGGAGCAUUCUUAAAGGGAUGAAGCGGUACCGACGAGGAGCUGUGGACUUUUAAGAAGAGAGAAUGCCGGAAUGAGUAGCGAGAUGGAGGUGGGAAUCCUCCAGGCCGAAUAUCCAAGGUUUCCAGAGUAAAGCUGAUCUGCUCUGGGUAAGUCGGGGCCUAAGGCGAGGCUGGGAGGCGUAGCCGAUGGACAACAGGUUGAGAUUCCUGUACCGUGUAUCAUCAGAACUGUGGGGACACAGAAGGACAGCACAUCCCGGGAAUGGGAAUACCGGGGCAAGCGGGGUAGGAGUACGGCUGGCAAAUCCGCCGUACAAUCCGAAUACGUGACGCGGAGCGAACUGAAGUAGUGAAGUGUGUGAUUCCAGCUGUCAAGAAAAGCCGCUAUCGUGUGAUACACGCCCGUACCGUAAACCGACACAGGUGGAUGAGGAGAGAAUCCUAAGGCCGGCGGGAGAAGCAUUGUUAAGGAACUCGGCAAAAUGACCCCGUAACUUCGGGAGAAGGGGUGCCCAUGAAAGUGGGCCGCAGAGAAUAGGCUCAAGCAACUGUUUAGCAAAAACACAGGUCUAUGCAAAACCGUAAGGUGAGGUAUAUGGGCUGACGCCUGCCCGGUGCUGGAAGGUUAAGAGGAGAGGUCAGCGGAAACGCGAAGCUUUGAAUUUAAGCCCCAGUAAACGGCGGCCGUAACUAUAACGGUCCUAAGGUAGCGAAAUUCCUUGUCGGGUAAGUUCCGACCCGCACGAAAGGCGUAA